ACGGAAAGUCGAAGAGGCACACGUUAUAUGGAAGAAAUUAAUAAGACGGAAAAUCAAAGAAGCAAACAUUACAGGGAAGGAAAUAAUGAGACAGAUAGCCGAAGAGGCAGACAUUACGAGGAAGGCGAGCAGUCGCAAUGAUUGAAGAGUAAAAAUUUUGAGAAUGAGAAACUAUGGUGUUGCCACGUGGCAAAAGAUAAUGAGAAAUAAUAUAUGUGUAUAGAUAUU
RNAcentral lists this long non-coding RNA (228 nucleotides) under Ananas comosus (pineapple). RNAcentral describes it as "long non-coding RNA (ACOM_LNC037700)". Lineage: Eukaryota; Viridiplantae; Streptophyta; Magnoliopsida; Poales; Bromeliaceae. The record is from RNAcentral.